RNAcentral lists this ribosomal RNA (411 nucleotides) under uncultured bacterium. RNAcentral describes it as "bacterial SSU rRNA". It matches the Rfam family "Bacterial small subunit ribosomal RNA", at positions 97 to 518 of the family's 1533-position model. The record is from RNAcentral.
GGCGGACGGGUGAGUAACGCGUGAGCAACCAACCUUAAUGCAGAAGGGAUAACAAAUUAGAAAUGAUUGCUAAUACCUCAUAAGACCACGCUAUCGCAUGGUAAAGUGGGAAAAAACUCCGGUGGCAUAAGACGGGCUCGCGUUCGAUUAGCUGGAUGGUGGGGUAACGGCCUACCAUGGCGACGAUCGAUAGCCGGACUGAGAGGUCGACCGGCCACAUUGGGACUGAGACACGGCCCAGACUCCUACGGGAGGCAGCAGUGGGGAAUAUUGCACAAGUGGGGGAAACCCUGAUGCAAGCGACGCCGCGUGAGUGAAGAAGUAUUUCGGUAUGUAAACUUCUAUCAGCAGGGAAGAUGAUGACCGGUACCUGACUAAGAACGCCCCGGCUAACUACGUGCCAGCAGCAGC